AGUGGAUGGGGAGCAACCUAGUUGUGCGUGUGUAAAGGUAGUGCCAAGAAAAGCGAUGAUCAUGUUGAAAAUCAAUUCCCGGUACCCGAAACCGACACAGGUGGGCAAGUAGAGAAUACUAAGGGGCGCGAGGUAACUCUCUCCAAGGAACUCGGCAAAAUGACCCCGUAACUUAGGGAGAAGGGGUGCCACCGAGAGGUGGUCGCAGUGAAGAGGCCCAGGCGACUGUUUAGCAAAAACAUAGGUCUCUGCAAACUCGAAAGAGGAGGUAUAGGGGCUGACGCCUGCCCAGUGCCGGAAGGUUAAAGAAGUUGGUCAGUUUUAGGAUGAAGCUAGCGACUGAAGCCCCGGUGAACGGCGGCCGUAACUAUAACGGUCCUAAGGUAGCGAAAUUCCUUGUCGGGUGAGUUCCGACCCGCACGAAAGGCGUAACGAUCUGGGCGCUGUCUCGGAGAGAGGCUCGGCGAAAUAGGAUUGUCUGUGAAGAUACGGACUACCUGCAUUUGGACAGAAAGACCCUAUGAAGCUUUACUAUAGCUUGGAAUUGUGUUCGGGCUUCCUGUGCGCAGGAUAGGUGGGAGGCGUAGAAGGUAUUCUUGUGGGGAUACUGGAGCCAACGGUGAGAUACCACUCUCAGGAGGCUAGAAUUCUAACUUAAUUAAGGACAGUUUCAGGUGGGUAGUUUGACUGGGGCGGUCGCCUCCAAAAAGGUAACGGAGGCGUACAAAGGUUCCCUCAGACUGGUUGGAAAUCAGUCGAAGAGUGCAAAGGCAGAAGGGAGCUUGACUGCGAGAAGUACAGUUCGAGCAGGGUGGAAACACGGUCUUAGUGAUCCGACGGUGCUGUGUGGAAGGGCCGUCGCUCAACGGAUAAAAGUUACUCUAGGAUAACAGGCUGAUCUCCCCCAAGAGUUCACAUCGACGGGGAGGUUUGGCACCUCGAUGUCGGCUCAUCGCAACCUGGGGCGGAAGUACGUCCCAAGGGUUGGGCUGUUCGCCCAUUAAAGCGGUACGUGAGCUGGGUUCAGAACGUCGUGAGACAGUUCGGUCCAUAUCCGAUGUAGGCGUGAGAAUAUUGAGAGGAGCCUUCCUUAGUACGAGAGGACCGGGAAGGACGCACCGCUGGUGUACCUGUUAUGAUGCCAAUUGUAAACGCAGGGUAGCCAAGUGCGGAGAGGAUAACCGCUGAAAGCAUCUAAGUGGGAAGCCCACCUCAAGAUGAGUAUUCUGGUGUAAGGUCACGGGAAGACGACCCGUAAAUAGGCACGAGGUGGAAGUGCAGAGAUGUAUGAAGCCGAAGUGUACUAAUAGACCGUCGGCUUGACC
This 1325-nucleotide ribosomal RNA is filed under the name metagenome. Its description in RNAcentral is "bacterial LSU rRNA". It matches the Rfam family "Bacterial large subunit ribosomal RNA", at positions 1561 to 2925 of the family's 2925-position model. The record is from RNAcentral.